RNAcentral lists this ribosomal RNA (558 nucleotides) under uncultured bacterium. Its description in RNAcentral is "bacterial SSU rRNA". It matches the Rfam family "Bacterial small subunit ribosomal RNA", at positions 49 to 645 of the family's 1533-position model. The record is from RNAcentral.
UAACACAUGCAAGUCGAACGGUAUGAUGCUUUCGGGCAUCAGAGAGUGGCGCACGGGUGAGUAACGCGUGGGAACCUGCCCCUGGGUACGGGACAACGCCUGGAAACGGGCGCUAAUACCGUAUACGUCCUUCGGGAGAAAGAUUUAUCGCCCUGGGAGGGGCCCGCGUCCGAUUAGCUUGUUGGUGGGGUAAUGGCCUACCAAGGCGACGAUCGGUAGCUGGUCUGAGAGGAUGAUCAGCCACACUGGGACUGAGACACGGCCCAGACUCCUGCGGGAGGCAGCAGUGGGGAAUAUUGGACAAUGGGGGCAACCCUGAUCCAGCAAUGCCGCGUGUGAUGAAGGCCUUAGGGUUGUAAAGCACUUUCACUGGUGAAGAUGAUGACGGUAUCCAGAGAAGAAGCCCCGGCUAACUCCGUGCCAGCAGCCGCGGUAAUACGGAGGGGGCAAGCGUUGUUCGGAAUUACUGGGCGUAAAGGGCGUGCAGGCUGUGAUUUAAGUUGGGCGUGAAAGCCCGGGGCUCAANCCCGGAAUUGCGCUUGAUACUGGAUCACUUGA